This 619-nucleotide ribosomal RNA is filed under the name uncultured Actinomycetes bacterium. RNAcentral describes it as "bacterial SSU rRNA". It matches the Rfam family "Bacterial small subunit ribosomal RNA", at positions 556 to 1177 of the family's 1533-position model. The record is from RNAcentral. Lineage: Bacteria; Bacillati; Actinomycetota; Actinomycetes.
GGGCGUAAGAGCUCGUAGGUGGUUCGUUACGUCGGAUGUGAAAAUCUGGGGCUCAACCCCAGACCUGCAUUCGAUACGGGCGAUCUAGAGUGUGGUAGGGGAGACUGGAAUUCCUGGUGUAGCGGUGGAAUGCGCAGAUAUCAGGAGGAACACCAAUGGCGAAGGCAGGUCUCUGGGCCAUUACUGACACUGAGGAGCGAAAGCGUGGGGAGCGAACAGGAUUAGAUACCCUGGUAGUCCACGCCGUAAACGGUGGGCACUAGUUGUGGGAACCUUCCACGGUUUCUGCGACGCAGCUAACGCAUUAAGUGCCCCGCCUGGGGAGUACGAUCGCAAGAUUAAAACUCAAAGGAAUUGACGGGGCCCCGCACAAGCAGCGGAGCAUGCGGCUUAAUUCGACGCAACGCGAAGAACCUUACCAAGGCUUGACAUAUACCGGAAUAUGGCAGAGAUGUCAUAGCUGUAAAAGGUCGGUAUACAGGUGGUGCAUGGUUGUCGUCAGCUCGUGUCGUGAGAUGUUGGGUUAAGUCCCGCAACGAGCGCAACCCUCGUUCUGUGUUGCCAGCAUUUAGUUGGGGACUCACAGGAGACUGCCGGGGUCAACUCGGAGGAAGGUAAU